GUCCCUUCGGCGACAUCUGAUAAAAUUCGUCUGAUACGGAGAAGAUUAGUAUGGCUCCUACGCAAGGAUGACAUGCACAAAUCGAGAAAUGGUUCAAUUUUUU
RNAcentral lists this small nuclear RNA (103 nucleotides) under Nicotiana sylvestris (wood tobacco). RNAcentral also lists the same sequence under 1 other name. The record is from RNAcentral. Lineage: Eukaryota; Viridiplantae; Streptophyta; Magnoliopsida; Solanales; Solanaceae.